GACAAUAGAGCAUGGAGAGUUUGUCCGGGUACGAACAGUCCACCUGAAUGGGAAGCCUCGAGUACUUACAUUGAAGCAGGAUUUACACUACUGGCCAACAUGGGAGUUGAGGUUUGAUCUGGAAACAGCUAUGUGGCGACGCAAAACAAUUAAAGCUUUGGACUCAGGUGUUUUGUGAAUGACUUGGCUGAUUAAGAUUUACCUUGGGAGUGCAUAAUUGUAGAGCAUGUUGGAAGUUCACCGGGUUUGUUAGUCAACUUAUUGGAGUUCAGAGUCUUCAUACAUCAAUAUAUGCAAAAUCAUAUAGAGCAGGCAUCUGACUUCAUUGCCUAUUUGUUGUAAAUUACUAUUUAUCUGAUGAAAUAAUAAGUCGGGAGUAUUUUAGACAUGAGUUAUAGGUUCUAGAGCUAUAAAAGAUGAUUGUAUAUCUGAAGAUGUAAAGGAUGAAUUAGGGGUUACUUUUAGCCACAAGAUUUGUGGUGAUGUCCCCUUUUAGCCUAUAGGAUUAAAGCAUUUUUCUUCUGAAUUUAUUGUGU
This 536-nucleotide unclassified non-coding RNA is filed under the name Hevea brasiliensis (rubber tree). The record is from RNAcentral. Lineage: Eukaryota; Viridiplantae; Streptophyta; Magnoliopsida; Malpighiales; Euphorbiaceae.